UUUUGGACAAUGGGCGCAAGCCUGAUCCAGCCAUUCCGCGUGAGUGAAGAAGGCCUUCGGGUUGUAAAGCUCUUUCGCCAGGGAAGAAAACUUACUUUCUAAUAAAGAGUGAGGUUGACGGUACCUUGAUAAGAAGCACCGGCUAACUACGUGCCAGCAGCCGCGGUAAUACGUAGGGUGCGAGCGUUAAUCGGAAUUACUGGGCGUAAAGCGUGCGCAGGCGGCUUUGUAAGUCAGAUGUGAAAUCCCCGAGCUCAACUUGGGAACUGCGUUUGAAACUACAAGGCUAGAAUAUGUCAGAGGGGGGUAGAAUUCCACGUGUAGCAGUGAAAUGCGUAGAGAUGUGGAGGAAUACCAAUGGCGAAGGCAGCCCCCUGGGAGUAAUAUUGACGCUCAUGCACGAAG
Molecule: ribosomal RNA, 405 nt
Filed under: uncultured bacterium
Lineage: Bacteria
Description: bacterial SSU rRNA
Rfam family: Bacterial small subunit ribosomal RNA
Source: RNAcentral